RNAcentral lists this ribosomal RNA (434 nucleotides) under uncultured bacterium. RNAcentral describes it as "bacterial SSU rRNA". It matches the Rfam family "Bacterial small subunit ribosomal RNA", at positions 335 to 762 of the family's 1533-position model. The record is from RNAcentral.
ACUCCUACGGGAGGCAGCAGUAGGGAAUCUUCCACAAUGGGCGAAAGCCUGAUGGAGCAACGCCGCGUGGGUGAAGAAGGUCUUCGGAUCGUAAAACCCUGUUGUUAGAGAAGAAAGUGCGUGAGAGUAACUGUUCACGUUUCGACGGUAUCUAACCAGAAAGCCACGGCUAACUACGUGCCAGCAGCCGCGGUAAUACGUAGGUGGCAAGCGUUAUCCGGAUUUAUUGGGCGUAAAGGGAACGCAGGCGGUCUUUAAGUCUGAUGUGAAAGCCUUCGGCUUAACCGGAGUAGUGCAUUGGAAACUGGGAGACUUGAGUGCAGAAGAGGAGAGUGGAACUCCAUGUGUAGCGGUGAAAUGCGUAGAUAUAUGGAAGAACACCAGUGGCGAAAGCGGCUCUCUGGUCUGUAACUGACGCUGAGGUUCGAAAGCGU